CUUCGCAGGAGCAGGAGCGUCCAUCGCCGCGCUUCUGCAAGUGCGGCUGGAAGAACAGGCUUAAAGCGCUCCCCAGAGACCUGGGAUCUCUCUGGAAAAUCAAAGCGGAUGCUUUGAGGCUCCAGCUGCUGCAGAGUGGGCAGGGGCAUUCCUUGGCAUGUGGAACAACUCUUGAGAGAACAAGGACAGAAAAAGCUGAGAUGGCUGCUCUCACAGCCCUCUGCCCAGCAGGUCUGAUGACUCUCACUACGGGAACACGUGUUUGCCACUGCAGGCCUUGAAUGUCUUAUAAAACUCACAAUUUGUUCAAAAGAAUAAACAGCAUGAAAGGGGAUGCGGAGCC
This 343-nucleotide long non-coding RNA is filed under the name Capra hircus (goat). RNAcentral describes it as "lncRNA (ENSCHIG00000008264.1)". The record is from RNAcentral. Lineage: Eukaryota; Metazoa; Chordata; Mammalia; Artiodactyla; Bovidae.